RNAcentral lists this ribosomal RNA (279 nucleotides) under uncultured bacterium. RNAcentral describes it as "partial 16S ribosomal RNA". It matches the Rfam family "Bacterial small subunit ribosomal RNA", at positions 506 to 784 of the family's 1533-position model. The record is from RNAcentral.
UGCCAGCAGCCGCGGUUAUACGGAGGGUGCAAGCGUUGUUCGGAAUUAUUGGGCGUAAAGCGCGUGUAGGCGGUUCGUUAAGUCUGAUGUGAAAGCCCGGGGCUCAACCCCGGAAGUGCAUUGGAAACUGCCUUGCUUGAGUGCGGUAGGGGAGCGGGGAAUUCCUGGUGUAGCGGUGAAAUGCGCAGAUAUUAGGAGGAACACCAGUGGCGAAGGCGCCGCUCUGGGCCGUAACUGACGCUGAGGAGCGAAAGCAUGGGUAGCAAACAGGAUUAGAUA